GCAGUGUUCCCAUAAUGGUAUUGGAUCCGGCUGCUAUCCGGCUGGGCAUUUAUUCGCCUUGUAGGUUCGAAUCCUACACACUGCG
Molecule: transfer RNA, 85 nt
Filed under: Bacteriophage sp.
Description: tRNA-Ser
Rfam family: tRNA
About the family: Transfer RNA (tRNA) molecules are approximately 80 nucleotides in length. Their secondary structure includes four short double-helical elements and three loops (D, anti-codon, and T loops).
Source: RNAcentral